AUGAACGCUGGCGGCGUGCCUAAUACAUGCAAGUCGAGCGAACGGAUGAGAAGCUUGCUUCUCUGAUGUUAGCGGCGGACGGGUGAGUAACACGUGGAUAACCUACCUAUAAGACUGGGAUAACUUCGGGAAACCGGAGCUAAUACCGGAUAAUAUUUUGAACCGCAUGGUUCAAAAGUGAAAGACGGUCUUGCUGUCACUUAUAGAUGGAUCCGCGCUGCAUUAGCUAGUUGGUAAGGUAACGGCUUACCAAGGCAACGAUGCAUAGCCGACCUGAGAGGGUGAUCGGCCACACUGGAACUGAGACACGGUCCAGACUCCUACGGGAGGCAGCAGUAGGGAAUCUUCUGCAAUGGGCGAAAGCCUGACGGAGCAACGCCGCGUGAGUGAUGAAGGUCUUCGGAUCGUAAAACUCUGUUAUUAGGGAAGAACAUAUGUGUAAGUAACUGUGCACAUCUUGACGGUACCUAAUCAGAAAGCCACGGCUAACUACGUG
This 496-nucleotide ribosomal RNA is filed under the name uncultured bacterium. RNAcentral describes it as "partial 16S ribosomal RNA". It matches the Rfam family "Bacterial small subunit ribosomal RNA", at positions 29 to 507 of the family's 1533-position model. The record is from RNAcentral.